Molecule: long non-coding RNA, 964 nt
Organism: Hyla sarda
Lineage: Eukaryota; Metazoa; Chordata; Amphibia; Anura; Hylidae
Exons: 2
Source: RefSeq, a predicted model, not a curated record
GAAGACCACUGCUGUAAAGCGUUCCUAUUUUUCUGUAUAUGAGGGUCAUUUUUCGCGCCAUGAUCUGUAGUUUUUACCACUUUUGCGUAUAUGGGGCUUUUCGUUCACUUUUUUAUAUAUUUUUUUUCCUGGGAUGGGAUGUGACCACAAAUCAGCAAUUUUGGACUUUAGCCAUUAUUGUACAGGAUCAUUUACAUUAUAUUUUAAUAGUUCGGAUAUUUACGCAUGUGGCGAUACUAAAUAUGUUUUCUGUUUAUUUAUGUUUACAUUAUUUUAUUUAGAAAAGGGGAGUGAUUAAAACGUUUAUCAGGGAAGGGGUUUAUUCACAUAAAAAAAAAAAAUAUUUUUAAAUUUUUUUGUCUCCAUAUGGAACUGCUUUGGACUGCGUGUACUGAACAAAACUGGGCCAUAGAAUAGCAUUGGUCAGUGUUAUUGGUGCAGGCUGCUGAGGAUGUCCACAGUACAGGAGCACCAAUCAGACAGACGGAAGACGGCCAAUCAGAAAGCAGCACUACUCAAAUAGAACUCCCGUGAGGUCACACAUGUGAUGUCAUAACCAUUGUCAUUGGUGAGGGGCCUAAACUGUAGGAACCUAGCAAUACACAUUCAUACCCGCCUGUGACUGGUAAGUAUCACAUCUUUUUGUCCAGUUCCAUGUGCAUUUCUAUAAUAAUCAUGUAACUAAUCUCUCUUUUCUUUUCCUAUCUUAGAUGCACACCUUCCAGGCUGUGGGGCAGCACAUACACUGACACUUUGCCCAAAUUCUAGAGGUAACCUCCUUUAGUAUGCCCAGAGGAAGGGCAGUACAGUAGCCAUGGAUUCCCUACAGGUUUCCUCCCCUCUGGAGGUUUUUCCUGUCCUGAGUUAGUUACUGUCCGCUCUUUGUGAGUGAUGGAGGUUACAUAAAAUCCCUACACAAACAUUUUUGUAAAUAAUAAAUAAAGUUCCCUUUGUUUAAACUGUU